Molecule: ribosomal RNA, 426 nt
Filed under: uncultured bacterium
Lineage: Bacteria
Description: bacterial SSU rRNA
Rfam family: Bacterial small subunit ribosomal RNA
Source: RNAcentral
GUGGGGGAUAUUGCGCAAUGGGGGAAACCCUGACGCAGCAACGCCGCGUGGAGGAUGACGGUUUUCGGAUUGUAAACUCCUUUUAUGGGGGACGAACUAAGACGGUACCCCAUGAAUAAGCUCCGGCUAACUACGUGCCAGCAGCCGCGGUAAUACGUAGGGAGCAAGCGUUGUCCGGAUUUACUGGGUGUAAAGGGUGCGUAGGCGGCUUGGUAAGUCAGGUGUGAAAUGUAGAGGCUCAACCUCUGAACUGCACUUGAAACUAUCGAGCUUGAGUGAUGUAGAGGCAGGCGGAAUUCCCUGUGUAGCGGUGAAAUGCGUAGAGAUAGGGAGGAACACCAGUGGCGAAGGCGGCCUGCUGGGCAUUAACUGACGCUGAGGCACGAAAGCGUGGGUAGCAAACAGGAUUAGAAACCCGAGUAGUCC